RNA transcript from Myripristis murdjan (pinecone soldierfish), 3203 nucleotides. It is a transcript of the gene named alanyl-tRNA synthetase 2, mitochondrial (putative), with no coding region annotated. NCBI's taxonomy places the organism in Eukaryota, Metazoa, Chordata, Actinopteri, Holocentriformes, Holocentridae. The transcript is spliced from 23 exons. The record is from RefSeq and is a predicted model, not a curated record.
AGCAGCACCGCAGAAGAAGAUUAUGAAACCAUGGUGGAGGUGACGGCAGCCUGGGGAGAGAUGUCACACCGUCCGGAGGUGUGUGUGUUCGGUGUGUGAAGCUGCGGAGCUCCGACAUGCUGCGGCUGCUCCAGCGGGCCGUGCCGCGGCCUGCCUGCCGCCUGCGGGCUCCCUCUGCCCGGGCACUCAGCGGCGGAGCCCCGGGCUCCUCCUCCGCCAGGGUCCGCAGGACUUUCCUGGACUUCUUCGAGCAGAGACACGGACACCGGGUCGUGCCGUCCAGCCCGGUGCGGCCCCGGGGGGACCCGAGCCUGCUGUUUGUCAACGCCGGCAUGAACCAGUUCAAGCCCCUCCUCCUGGGCACGGCGGACCCCCGCAGUGAGAUGGCGUCGUACCGCCGCGUCGCCAACAGUCAGAAGUGCGUGCGAGCCGGCGGCAAACACAACGACCUGGAGGACGUGGGCCGGGACGUCUACCACCACACCUUCUUCGAGAUGCUGGGCAGCUGGUCCUUUGGAGACUACUUCAAGGAGGAGGCGUGUUCGAUGGCGUGGACUCUGCUCACAGAGCAUUAUGGGAUACCUCCUGACAGGCUGUAUGUGUCGUACUUUGGCGGGGAGGCGGCGGCGGCUCUGCCGGCGGACGAGGAGACGAGGCAGAUCUGGCUCAGCCUCGGGGUUCCUGCAGAGCGCCUGCUGCCGUUCGGCCUGAAGGAAAACUUCUGGGAGAUGGGCGACUCGGGCCCCUGCGGCCCCUGCACCGAGAUCCACUACGACCACCAGGGGGCGCGGGACGCCGCCGCGCUCGUCAACGCAGACUGUCCCGACGUGGUGGAGAUCUGGAACCUGGUGUUCAUGCAGUACAACAGGGAGGCGGACCGCAGCUUGCGCCCCCUGCCCCAGCACAGUGUGGACACCGGGAUGGGCCUGGAGCGGCUGGUGAGCGUCCUGCAGGGGAAACGCUCCAACUACGACACAGAUCUGUUCAGCCCGCUGAUGGACGCCAUCCAGCAGAGGGCCGGGGUGGGGGGGUACCGGGGCAGGACGGGCGCGGCGGACCAGGGGAAGGUGGACAUGGCGUACCGCGUGGUGGCUGACCACGUCAGGACGCUGGCGGUCUGCAUUGCUGACGGCGUUAACCCCGGCAUGUCCGGAGCAGAGCUGGUGUUGCGGAGGAUUCUGCGCCGUGCGGUGCGUUUCAGUGUCGAGGUGCUGCAGGCUCCACCGGGAGCGCUAGCCAGCCUGGUUCCCACCGUCGUUCACAUCCUGGGCGAUGCGUAUCCGGAGCUGCACAGAGAGGCAGAGCGGGUCAUGGAGAUCAUCGACGAGAACGAGGCUCAGUUCCUGUCGUGCCUGCAGCAGGGCAGCCGCCUCAUGGACCGCACGCUGCACAGGAUGGACCGGCAGCAGGCCUUCCCAGCGGCGGUUGCCUGGUCCCUGCACAGGAACCUGGGCUUCCCUCUGGACCUGCUGGAGCUCAUGCUGGAGGACAGAGGGGUCGGACUGGACCGGGACGGACUCGAACGCCUCAUCAGUGAAGACAACCAGAAGCGGGGUUCUGAGCCGUCCUCGUCGUCUCAGUCUCAGGUGUCUCUGGACGUCCUCAGCCUGGCCGAGCUGCAGCGGCGUGGCGUCCCUCACACCGACGACCGGCACAAAUACGCCUACAGCCUGCAGGACGGCCGCUACGUGUUCCCAGCAUGCCGUGCGACGGUCCUGGCCCUGUACAGCGGGCAGGCUCUGGUGUCGGAGGUCAGUGAGGGUCAGCGCUGCGGCGUGCUGCUGGACCGGACCUGUUUCUACGCCGAGCAGGGCGGACAGUCACAUGACCAGGGCUUCUUCACCCGGGACGACCUGCAGGACGUGGUGUUCCCGGUGGAGGCGGUGGUGCAGGCGGGGGGGUUCGUGGUUCAUCAGGUCACGGCAGCAGAGCGCCUGCAGACCGGAGAUCAGGUGACGCUGCACCUGGACCAGGCCCAGCGUCUGGCCUGCAUGGUGAAGCACACGGCCACGCACCUCCUAAACUUCGCCCUGCGGCGGGUCCUGGGCCCCGCCGUGCAGCAGAGGGGCUCGCACGUCGCCGCCGACCGCCUCCGCUUCGACUUCAGCGUCAAGGGCAGUGUGGGCGGGGCUGAGCUGCAGCAGGUAGAGAGCUGCGUUCAGAGCAUCAUCUCAGCCAAUCAGAGGGUUUACACCGAGGAGCUUCCUCUGGAGCGAGCGCGGGCCGUCCCGGGCCUGCGCACCGUCGACGAGGUGUAUCCCGACCCGGUGCGGGUGGUGUCCGUGGCGGUGCCGGCGUCGCAGCUGCAGACGGACUCACAGACGUCAGUGGAACUCUGCUGCGGAACACACCUGCUGCACACCGGAGCCAUCCAGGACCUGGUGAUCGUGUCCGAGAGACAGAUGGUGAGGGGCGUCAGCCGCGUGGUGGCCGUGACGGGACCGCAGGCCGCACAGGCCCGGGAGACCGGCCAGGUGUUGGCACAGGAAGUGGACUCUCUGUCGGCACGGCUGUCAGGCUCCGCCCCCUCCUGCCUCGCCACCGCCCAGCGUCUCGCCAAGGAGGCCGGCGUCCUCACUGACGCGGUGGACAGUGCGCUGAUGCCUCAGUGGCAGAGGAGGGCGCUGCAGAGUCACCUGCGAGCUCUGCAGAGGAGCAGCAACACCAACAUCAGGAAGCUGGAGAGCCGCCAGGCUGCUGAGCAUGCCCAGUCUGUGCUGCAGAGGAACCGGCAGGAGGAGCUGCUGGUGGACGUGGUGGACACCGACUCGCUCUCGGUGGUGAUGAAGACGGUGAACCAGCUGAGCGCCGCCGCUCCUCACAGCCUGGUCAUGCUGCUCGCACACCAAAAGCAUUCUGGGAAGGUUCUGUGCGCCUGCCAGGUGCCAAAGGGCUCGGAGGCGCUGCCGGCCCGUGAUUGGGCGGUGGCCGUGUGUCGUCACCUGGGCGGCAGCGCCGGCGGCUCGGCGCUCGUCGCCAAGGGAACAGGAAGCAGCAGUGACAUCACGGAGGCGCUGAGGUGGGCGGAGGAAUACGCCCGCCGCAGAACGAGCCAGGAGCCUUGUUAACACACUGACCUCUCUCUCUGUGUGUGUGUGUGUGUGUGUGUGUCUCACUGUGUGUGUGUGUGUGUGCGUGUGUGUCUCUGUGUGUGUGUGUGUGUGUGUGUGUGUGUGUGUGUGUGUGUGUGUGUGUGUGUGUGU